AAAUCUCUAAAGCUGACAGUCUAAUGGCAGAGGUAAAACCUACCACAGAAUAAGAUCAUUACUCAGGUCAAUAUUCCUUGGGGUCAGAGAUGGAAUCCAAAGGCAAUGACUGCUGAAGGACUGUCACCCUUGGAAUUCAGCCAGGUGCUUGAACUGAACCCCUUGUACUCAUAAUUUCCAUGAGUUACUGAUGGCUUCCAGUUUGGUGGUGCUACAGAGCCUGCUGUCCAGGACAAAUGGCAGUGGGCUGGGGAGCCCAGGAGCCUCAGGUGACUGGACAAGAAGGAAAGAAACAGGCAGACACAAGUAAGUAACAU
Sus scrofa (pig) is the source of this 317-nucleotide non-coding RNA. The record is from RefSeq and is a predicted model, not a curated record. NCBI's taxonomy places the organism in Eukaryota, Metazoa, Chordata, Mammalia, Artiodactyla, Suidae.